This 145-nucleotide unclassified non-coding RNA is filed under the name uncultured fungus. Its description in RNAcentral is "sequence contains ITS1, 5.8S rRNA gene". Lineage: Eukaryota; Fungi. The record is from RNAcentral.
CCAAAGAUGGCGGGCCUCCGCGCCCCCGUCCCCAACCCAUUGUUGACCAAAACCCUUUUGCCUCGGGGGCAGAGCGUCCGCCGCCGCCCCCGGAGGACCACCUAACGCUGUCUCUUUGCGUCAGAGUAAUUGAUUAAAUAAAUGA